Molecule: long non-coding RNA, 1721 nt
Organism: Mugil cephalus (flathead mullet)
Lineage: Eukaryota; Metazoa; Chordata; Actinopteri; Mugiliformes; Mugilidae
Exons: 2
Source: RefSeq, a predicted model, not a curated record
GGAUGGAUCCAGCUGCGCGAGGACGGGACAGGAAAGGAGGGCUGGACGCGGCGCGUGCGCACCUGAGCGCGCGCCGAGGCGCACACACGCCCUAAAGAAAAAUGUUUGAACGUCGUUACCUGGGCGACAGAAAUGUCGACUGUGACCAACUAAAUCUGAGCGUGUCUGUGGUGAACGCUCCAGACAUCAACCUGUGCGGCCCAGUCCUUGAUAAAUUCAACCUUCCAUUAGGGAGCUCAGAGGUGCAUUAUCCAUCACCGAGAUCAGACGCUUGCAAAUUAGCCCUACAUUUCCACAUUAGAGAUGACUGGAUAAAGCGGCCUGAGACUCCCGGACUCAUAAUUAAUUUAACGGGCCGUAUUACCGCAGGGCAGUGUCGCUAAAAAGGCUCCAAAACCAAACCAGCGGAGGUUCAGAGAGUGAAGCUGCUGCAGAGACUUUCACUCACUGAGUCGUAGAGAGAUUUGUUUCCUUGUGCGGCUCAGGAAUGAAGCUGGAAUGGUUUUAACUUCAAGUCUCCGGCUCUUCCUUGUUUCAACACUUCCUCAUGUUUUACUUUGCACACCCAAAGCUGAGGAAUUUCAACAGUUUAUGUUUUAGUUUCUUUCUUCGGGCUCCAUCCGUUUCUCCCCAAAGUUUAUAUUUCUGUGCAUGUGCUGUUAUACAGAGUUAUUCUAAUCUACAGUUGUAUCAACUAGUCGAGAUGGACUGAAGAUGAAGACUGAAGAUGCAAUCUCUUUCCAUGCCAAGAGGAGGCGACUGGAUGAACCUGUUCUCUGGUUAAACAAGCUUUGUUUCCAGAUGUCACUGUAAAGGACCUGACAGUUCAACCUGAAUCAUCCCAGAAGUGUGACAGCGUCUAAUCGCUCCCCUUCCUCAACACACUUCCUUGUAGAGUCUGCCAACGAGGAAGAUCGAAACGCCAGCAAGACAAAACAAUCUGUUCUUUCUGAUCUGGCUCUGCUUUCUGCUGGAGAAGAACUUCCGCAACAUUUUCAUCAGGCCAGAAAGAUGGAAAUUAAAAAACCCGAUCACGGCCUUGAAAGGGCCGACGCUGAUUGCAUUUGGGGGGAAAACCUCAAUCCAUUUACUUUCAGUCGACGCUUUUUAUAUUGAAAUGACUCCAUUAGGAUCCAUUAGCGCCCGCGUUGUAGGGACGGCGUGUCUCCCUGAGCUCGUAGCGAGCCAGCAAAGCCCUGUUCUCUGCAUUCAAGGCCGCUGGUCUGAGAACCUGAUGUAAAUCACCGGUGAUUAAAUUAAAACCUGCUCAUUCCACAUCCAGAACCUGCCUGUCUGUCUGUCUGUCUGUCUGGUCUGUGUUCACUCAUCAGUGUGAAUCCAGAAGAAUUAAAGCUUCUCUGCUACAAAAUCUAUUCAGUGUUUUUGUUUUAUUGUGUUAAAAUAGAGACCUAAGAAGAAACAAUAAUAACAAUAAUAAUAAUAAUAGAUGCAAAAAUGGAUGCAAAUGAUCACAAUCACAGUGUUAAUGCAACAUGACUGACUAUUUAAAAAAAAUUUAAUUACAAUAUCAAGAAACAUACCUUUUUACAUUUUUUUUUUUACAAAUGAAAUGUGCUCUGAAGAAAUUUGUGUCCAAACACCGCCCCCUGCUGGAACUGCAAUAAAAGUGCCCGAAGAGCCCCUGACAUGAUUCCCAUUGUUAAAGAUUCUCUUUCUUUCUUAAAAGCAAUAAAAUCAAAUAUUAACACGAGAAAAAAAAA